UCCCUUCGCAGGAUGAAUUUUAUAUUUCAUAGAUUUUUUUGGGAACAAACACAUUUGGACACCAUCCUUUUAUGUUUAUGAUAUUAAAUAUAAUAUUAAAAUUAAUUGCAAGGAUAACACUCGCAAACAUCAUUACAACAUCUAGGAAAGCCAACUCGACACAUUCUUUCACAUGGCGUUCCAUUGGGACCACACGAUUCGUUGGACAUUAACGAGCCUUUGUCAGCCAAAACCGAUGAGAUAAACAAACCUGAAAAUUAAAGUAUAUUCCAUUAGAGAUAAACAGGGAAGAUGAUGGUAAUUAGAGUGCUAGCUAUUGAGACAAACAAAAGACUACGUACCAGACAUGGAAACCAAUAACAUGACCAUGAACACCAUCUUCAAAUUUUGCUCCAUCUUUUAAGCGAUCGUUUUAAAAGCAAAACGAAAGAAGUUAGUUUUAAUCUGCAUUAAAGUAAUCUCUUAUGCGUCAUAUAUAUGCGUCAUAUCUUCUAUCAAAAUUAAAUUUUAAUAAAUGCUAAUAAAAAUGGUCAAAUAUAUUGUUACAAUCAUCGAUAUUCCUACAUUAAAUUAUUUAAAGGAUUCAUUAUCAUUCCAAAAUCAAAAUUUAAUAAAAAUAAAGAAUAUCAGUUUUCCAAUUAAAAUUAAUCAUUUCUAAUAAAUAAAGGUAUUCUUUUGUCAUUUGUCACACUAUAAUUCAAUAUUGCCAAAUGUAAUUUUAUGGUUAUUUUGAAUUAAUUUUUUUUUUCACAUGUUAUUUUAUAAGGUUUUUUUUUUUUUUUUCUAUUUUGUUAAAUUACAUGUAAUAUAUUAAUGUAAUAAUUGCAAUUUCGAACUUACCAUUUAAUUUAAAAUUCUCAAAUUUUAGCUCAUUAGUUUUCUUUUAUUUAUUUAAAUUUAAAACACAAAACACAUUUAUAUUAUAAUAAUUCAUUAUGUAUUUUAUUUUCUUAUAAAUUAAAAGUUCUCAAAUAUUUUGACAUUUAUAAUUAUCUUUUUUUUUGUAAUUAACCCAUGUAGUACAUGGGUCUCACAACAAGUAUUGUUAAUAAAUAAAAGAAGAAAUAAUUAAUAUAUGUGUGGUUAAUUUGUUACUAUGUUAGCAGUAAAUUUCCCAAAUGAUAAGCCCAACUCCAUAACCUAAUUAGUAACGAGUUAUUAAAAGUAUUCAAUCAUGGUCCAUUUCUUGCCCACCAGUUGAACCCGGCCACCAGGCUAAACACAAAAUUAGGCCUAGACCAGAUAUGGCUUAUGAUUCGACUAUUGGUUUCCCUCCUCUAUUGUUUGUUUGAAACCAAUAUAUAUAUAUAUAUAUAUAUAUAUAUGUAUAUAUAUAUGUAUAUGUAUAUAUAUAUAUAUGUAUAUAUAUAUAUGUAUNUAUAUAUAUAUAUAUAUAGAGAGAGAGAGAGAGAGAGAGAUAGAGCUAGGUUCAAAUGUUUCUAGCAACUAUUGUAUGCAUGAAUACACUAAUAUGCAUUUAGGAAAAAAAUAAAUAAGUAAAUAAAUAAUUUAAGGGUAUUAUAGUAAUCUUUUCUAUGGAAUUCAUCUUCUCCCUCCAAAAAUCACCACCGACAUCAAAAUUGAACCACCAUUCAAGUUGAUUUUGUAAUUCAGUGGUGAAGUCCAACUGCUGAAUCAAUUGUUUGAAGGUUGGUCUCUGCCACUAACAUAAGUUUAUUUGAUUUCUGAUUCUUCUACUUCUUGAUUGCUUGCAAUUCUUCCUUUGAAUGCUACUAAUUUACGAUUCUUCACAUGAAUUUUCCAUUUGAUUUAUUCACAAAUUUUUUAUUCUUUGAUUAUCCAAAUCAAAUCUUUAUCAAAGCAACAACUCAAGUAAUGGGUAGAGAGAAAAAAUGGCGCUGAAAUUAUUUAUUGAUCGACUCUCCUAAAUAUCUCGUUCUAUUCUCCUCUUCUACAGGUAAAUUACAUAAUUACAUUCUUCAUUUACAUUAGGUGUUUUCUUUUUCUUCUUCUAUUGAGAGAAAAACAUGAGACACACUUGAACAAACGUUAGAACAAGUAUAUUUGCGGAAUUAGUUAAUCUCAAAGGAUCUAAAAGCUCAACAAUAAUAAGUUAACGAGUUAAAUAGUUAGACAGUUAGUUGCGGAAACGUAAGGAAGUAUAAAUGACAGCAGGUGAUAUAUCAAGUAAACAUAUAAGUUGAUUCAUAACAUGGAAUGCAUUCAAACCAAGUUAGUGAGUGAGAUCAAGCUUAGUGAUAAAGUCACGAAUGACUUGCUCCAAAGAGAAGUAAUUAUCAGUUAGGUUCGAGAGAAUUAGAUAGUAAGAAAGAUAUGAGAUGCGUAAGAGAAAUGUAAUUGAUAUACUUCAAGAUACUCCAGAUUGAUGGAUGUGUAAGAUUGAUUAAAAGAGUGAGCUCUAUAUAUAGAGUCUCAAGAGUUACAUUUGAUCCACUCUCUAAGAGUAGCCAUGCAAGGCAUACUAGACAAUAGAGAGUAUUACAGAAAAGAUAGAUAAAAUUAAACUAAGUAAAGUAAGUAAGACUGCAGUUGGAUAGAUGACUUCGGAUGAGGCUGUUGAUGAGAGCUUAACUACGGAUCCUUGUGGGUUGCGGUAUUUUCCACCAAAACUUUUUCUUCACUUAUCAAGUUUAAGGAACUUGAUCAGAAUCCACCAAAACUUCCUAAUAUUUUCCAACCAGGUGAUUCUUCUUAAAAUCUCGAACUUGACUUCGGCAGUCGUGUGUUUGGAUUUUUCUACUGCGGUUCGAUAGAUUUCAAGUUGCUUCUUUGAAAGACGAUUCAUGGAGGUCAUGGGAAUGAAGUAUUUGACCUGAUCGAUCUUCCUUUUAAAGAUGAAUCCAAAUUCAGGGAAGUUUGUUGCACCUAGGGAUCUUUAUUGAUAAGCUUCGGUAGGCAUUGGUGCAGGAUCUAGUGGUGGUAGAUCGAACUUCUUGGCAAUGGUUGCGUGGAUGUCCGCAUGAAUCUUUGCGAAGUCGUAGAUGGUUUCCUUCAGAAAAAUGCUUGCCCUUUCAAGUACUAUCUUAAUUUUAGGAUACUUUUCACACUUGUUUUGGAACACCUUUCCCAUAAGAAAGAUUCUUCUAUGUUCAUACAGGGGAAGUAAGCUUGGGUGCGGACAUAGUCCUGAUUCCUUCUUGUGAGUGUGCAUUAAACGAAGUCAGCCUUCAUGAAUUUCUGAGGCUUGAAGUUCUUGACUGCGGAUGGUCUAUCGUUAGACUAGAUUUUCUCUAUAGAAGAGGCAUGUUUGGCAUAGAAUCGAUUGAGUCUCUCGAAUUCCAUGGGCAGUCUUUUGUGAUCUGGUAUGCUAUGGUCAAACUGCUCAAAUACUGUGAAGUAUUUAGCAUUUGGGAAGAUUGGAACAUCCCAGUAGCCAUUAGAAGGGGGUUCAACAUAGGUGAGAUAUGGUUUGUAUUCAUCGUCCAGCAGUCUGCGGUGGGGAUUGACCCAAGAGUUUAUUAAGGAUUCAUCCAUGAUAGUGUCCAAACUGCAUUCUCUCCAUAUGAGUUCAACAAGUUUAGCUGCUUUCCAGUCAGCUUUCUUUUGUUUGGCGACGGGAGAGUCAUUUGAGCUUGGAGAUGACAUGUGAUCUGCUAGAUUCUUGAAAUGAGGGGGAGUAGCAGGUCGUUCAGGAAAGGGAACAAUUUUUUUGUUGUUGUGGAGGAGACUGAUUGCUUGGACUCUUGUGAGGAGAUGGUUGUGGUGAAGGAAUUUUCUGAGAAGCACUGUUGGAUUGAUGAUCUUUUUCAUAGUGUUCUUCUUCAUGAUGGUCUUCUUUACUUCCCCCUCUUGAGGAGUUUAGACCCGAAGCCUCCUCAAGCCAUUGUUUGAGACCAUCGACCUUGGCACACACCUCCUGAAAGUGAGCUUUGAGAACAUCAACUAGUUGCUAAUUGUCAGGAAUGGUGGUGUUGAAGAGUAGCCAAUGAAUCUACUUUGUCAGUUGGAGAAUUUCAGGACCAUGGAGGACUGAGAUAGAGGACUCAUAAGCAGUGUGAGUCUCAGCUAUCAGUUCCUGGGAAAGAGAGGAUUGGUCUACAAUGGUUGUUUGCAGAUUGUCUUUGAUUGCGGAUACCUCGGAGAUGAGGCGCUCCGCAGCAGCCAUAAAUUCCUUGUGAUCUGCUUGGCGAUUGUUGUUAAGGGACCGUAUUCUCAUUUCUACUUUGAGAGAAAUGCUCUCAGUCGCUAGAUAUUCCCUAGUCUCCAAUCUUUCAAUCCUUUCUUUCAAGGACUGCGGUAUCGGAUGAUCUUCUGAUUGAGGUUGAGUUGACUUGGUUGCGACAAGAAUUUGAUCUACUUUGGAUUGUAUACUUAAGACUUCUUUUCUUGAAAUGGCCAUCUUCUUAUUUUUCUUUUUCUCCUUGCACUUAGAGUUUAAGUGUUGAGAACCACUCGAUUCCUCUUCUUCAUCAAACAUCAUGAGGUCAUCAUCUGAAGGACUACGCUGAUUAACCUCAUGUAGAUCAACAUCAUCAAAACAAAAGGUGGGAGCAGAGCUGAAUUCUAUUUCAGUGCUUGCAUCUUGAGAGUCUUUGACAGUUGGAGAUGGAGGGGGCUUUAAAGGAGUUUGAUCAGUAGCCGCAUCUUGAGCUUUGCAGAUUGUAUCAGCCAUGUUGUCCAUCAAUUGUUGAACUUUGCAGAUAGUAGAUACGAUAUUGGCAUUAUUGAUUGCAUCUGCCCAAUACUUCGCUACAGACUGUAUUUCUUGUUGUUUCAGUUGAAACUGCUUUGUUUAUCGUGCCUUUCUUGCUUGGAAUGCCCUACAGAAAGCGGCAUAUUUCUUGGAUUCGACUUCAUUUGAUGGUUGAUACUUGUUCCAUGAGUCAUUGAGGUCAAUUUCUUCAAUUCCUUGGUAUCGCACCAAGGUGUCCCGCGGGUUCACGGAUCCUUGCACGCUGGUGCUCACUGUGCCUAAACCACAUGUUACAGAUGUAAGCAGAGUAGGAUUUCAUGACUUUCCUCGAUCUCCUUGACCUAGGAUCAAGUCUGGUCUGGCUCAGUUCUGGAAAAAGGCUGAAGAUUCACCUUGUGGUUGGGAAGGUGUUUGAAGUGUUUGGGUAACAAAAAAAGUAUGGAGUUCAACUCCUCUAGGGAAAAGAAAUGUAGACGAGAAGCCCUAGAGAUCUUAGGGCAGGAGCUAGUUCCAUCCCCUUGGGAUUGACCUGGGGGUGAAUCUCCACAUUGCAGUGAAGCAGACACACCACCUAUGUCUGAGUGGUAUUGGAUAGUUGAUUAAAAUGGGUGUGCGGCCACCCAAAGGACUACUAGAGCCUUUUGAGAGGCUUCCGUAUCAGUCUGGUCACUCAUUUGGCCUGUGGGAUUGGUUUUUCUUUUCUUGAGGAUUGAGAUGGGUUGAUCGUCCUCAUCAGAAUCACUACUAGAGGGAGAGGGAGAUUGAUGUUUGCUUGGUUCUUUAUUUGUUGGUACAGUUGGGAUGAUCUUUCUUUUCUUCGAAGGAUUAGCUUGUUUGGGAGCAUCCUUUUUCUUAGGAUUGCCUCGUUUGUUGGUGUGGCGGGGGACUUGAUGAGCAAAGGCUAACUGUUUUGCGUCUUUGUGAUAAAGACAGGAUGGAAAGAAUGGUGGAAGAUGGGACUGCGGUACGACCAAGGGAAGUGAUUGCGGAUGGGGUUUGUAGAGGCGGAGUAAGAAGGUAUGGGGCAAUACCUUCCGUAGCCUCAAUAUGGUCUGAGAUAUCAGUAGUUUCAAGACCAAGAGUAGAGUGAAUAUGGGAUGGUAGUCUUCUAAUGGGUCCAAAAACAGAUUGAUCAGAUGAGGUAUUGUACCUUUUGAGAUCUUUGGUGACAAAGAGAUUGAUCUCGUUGCCCAUGCAAAGUCCUAUAUCCACAUGGAGAUCUGUGAUGCAUAGAGACCAGAACCUUGCAAACGUGAGUUCGGUAGGGUUCUCUUUUGGGCUUUCCUUAGGAAUAUAUUGUAAGAAGUUAUCCCAUAGUAUCUGACUGUAGUUGAUGUCAUGGCUAGUGAAGAUAAUCCACACUAACUGUAGGAGCUUGAGUCCCAUAUUAUAUGUGCCUCCAGUUCUGUCGGACAGACUGUGGAUCACAAAGUGGCAAACAAAUUGCCAAACCGCAUGCAGUUGAUUUUUAUUGAUUCGCUAGCGAUAUUUUCUGGAUUCAUGGUGUUCAAUUUGGCUUCCUUGACCUGUGAGGCUAGGGGAGAUCGGAUGGUGAUUGAUAGGGUCUUCACACGACGACUUGAAUACUCCUUUUGGCUCAGGGCAUCAACUACCACUUUAGCCUUGCCUGGAUGGUAUUUGAUCUCACACUCAUAGUCAUUUAACAGUUCGACCCAUCUUCACUACCUCAUGUUUAUUUCCUUUUGAUUUAGCAUGUGCCGGAGGCUCUUGUGGUCUGUAAAGAUGGUGCACUUAGUACCAUAUAGGUAGUGCCUCCAAAUUUUCAGGGCGAAGAAAACCGCUCCCAAUUCCAGGUCAUGCGUGGUAUAAUUCACUUCAUGUUUUUCAGUUGUCUGGAUGCAUAAGCAAUUACCUUCCCGUGUUGCUUAAGAACACAACCUAAACCCUGAUUCGAAGCAUCCCAGUAAACUAUGAAGUCUUCGGUUCCCUCCGGUAAGGAUAGUACUGGAGCACUACAGAGAGCUUGCUUCAAGGUUUCGAAAGUGAUCUCCUGCUUCUGUGUCCAGUUAAGCGGUACACCGUUCUGUGUCAAUGUGGUGAGGGGUUUGGCUAUCUUAGAAAAGUUCUGAAUGAAUCUUUGGUAAUAGCCUGCUAGUCCCAAGAAUUUUCGAAUCUCUAUUGGCAUUGUCGGAAUUGCCAACCUUCAAUAGCCUUGACUUUGGGGGGAUCUACAUGGAUUCCUUCCUGGCUAACUACAUGCCCCAAGAAAUUCACACUGCAGAGCCAAAAUUUACACUUGGAGAGUUUUACAUAUAACUUUUCAGUUCGAGGGGCCUAUAAGAUCUUACGCAGGUAUUGCCUAUGAUCUUUCUCACUUCGAGAGUACACGAGGAUAUCAUCGAUGAAAAUGAUUACAAAUUUAUCAAGAAAUGGGUGGCAAACUCGAUUCAUGAUGUCCAUAAAUGUAGCGCGGGCAUUUGUCAGACCGAAUGUGACAACCCAAAAUUAUUUCCAUCAUUAUAACCCAUUUCCGUUAAAUAGAAUAUUCUAUUUUAUAAAUGUUCCGUUAAUUUAGGGUCGACAAAUAAAUAAAUGUUUUAUUUUAUUUGUAUUUUAUGUUAAUAUUGUCGUAACAAAAUAAAUAAAACUCAUAAAUUUCAUUUCCAUUUAGUUGGAAAAAAUUUAUUUUUAUUACGACCAUUUAACCGGGUAAAAAGUUUAAACCUCGUUAAACAUAAGUAUCGGGUAGUCGAAUACCGGGUACAACACCCAGCCUUAUAUAAAGGAGGGUGGGCAUCUCAUAGAAACCUUUUACCACACUUGACCCACUUUCUCUCUCUACUCUCUCUCCUCAAGUCCGAUUUCAUCUAAAAACCGCAAGUUUCCGCCUCCAAAACGUAAGUUCUCUUGCCCUAACUUGUUCUAGACAUCAUUGAUUUGUGUUUUAACCCAAAAAUCGUUCUUGAAAGCUGAAAAAGAGGAGUUUACGGCCUAAGAACCUCCUUAGGGCGUAAACCCCUGAAAUGUGGUCAAAAGUGCCAAAUUUCUUCCCUGUGAGCUUAGAAACAAGUUUUGGACUUAACCUAGGAGUGUUUGAACCUUGAAUCAACAUUUUUAGGGCUUGGAAGAGGGUUUACGGUCCAAGCACAUGCUUAGACCAUAAACACCCUUUAAGCUUGCAAACCAAGCCCAAAACACUUCCAAAACACAUUUAGGCUUAAGAUAUGGCUUAGGGACUCGCUAUUUCGGACUUGGAACACCUAAACAUCAACAUUUGAGGAGUAAACUAGAGUUUACUGCCCAAGCAUAUGCUUAGACCGUAAACUCCCCUAAAACAUGCCAAAUGAAAGUUUAAGGCCCCCCCCCCCCUAAAGAGCCUUAUACCCUCACUAGAACUUGUUAGGAAGGAGCCAAGGGCCUUGUAAUCGAAGAAUGGAGGUGUCCAAGAGUUUACUACCAUAAACCAUGGGGUUUACAGCCGUAAACUCCCAAGGAGUGGUCCUUGGACCGUAAACUCCAAGGGAGUACACUUUUGGAAACAUAAACACCCCUAUAGCCUUGUAUAUUACCUUAGAAUCACUCCUAAAACCACAUGGGGCUUCAAAACACUCAAAUAUCCUCCUCCCAUUAGUUUACGGCCGUAAACUCAUGGGGGAUGUGGUCUCCCAACCGUAAACUCACUCAAGGUGAGUUUUAGGAGAGUAAACUCCAUGGUGAGGUCUUAGACACUUUCCUUGCAACCCAUUAGCCUUCUAGCACUCAACCAUAAGACCUUUAAUCACAUUAGGAUGUUUGUAUGUGUAUAAUUAGAGUCUAAAUCACUAAUUACUUGUAAACAUAUGUCUUCAUAUGUUACUAGGGUCAUAAAGGGUCUACAAGUCUCUACUUGACACCAAACGCUCAUCCGACAAUUCCACCCGAUCUACUCAUUGCAAGUGAGUUCAUUCCCCUUAAUGAACUUUUUUUAAAUGUUUUUACAUGUUUUAGGGGGGGGGGGGGGGAUACAAGGAUAAAGCUACAAGUUUUUAUUAGUAAAUCAUAUGUGAUUCACAAAUUAUCUUUAAAAAGGGAUUUUUCUACACUUUUAGCUGUUUACCAAUAAAACUGUUUUAGUUGUUUAUCAAAUGCAUUUUUAAGAUUAUAUUGUGGUCAAACUAUUUUCAAAACUGUUUUUAAAUCAUUUUUCUGUUAAUAAAAAUAUACAUACACAAAUAUAUUUAUAUAAGUAAGACUUGAAGGACUUAGGACCGAUAGCUCGCCUUAUUUCCUGUUCUUGUUUGAUGUGGUCUUAGGGUAUCUGUUAUCCAUCCGACUGUCGUUGAUUUCUUAGUUAUAUAUCAUAUAUAUUUGUGUUAGAUAUGAAAGUCUUCAUCUCAUACAAUAACUUUGUUAUUCCAAGGCAGGAAAUCGCACACUGUAGUUAACUAUAAUAAGUAUAGUUAAGACUACUACUCGUUACCUCUACUACUACUAUACUCACUAUAACUGCUAUUACUACAAGUUAAUACACGUAUAAGAGAACACUGUAUGAACUAUACAAAAAGACUACUAUACUAUAAUACAAUAGAAUACACGAAUCCAGAGUAUAAACACUAUCUCUCUAUAAGACACCCUACCAUGCUUACACCAUGUGACCAGGGAUUUCCGGAAGGAAGGCAACACUACAUGUAUAGAUCUAUGCAGGGCAGACACUAUUACAUCUCGACUGUUAACUAUAGUCUGAGUCGACUAGGCCCAGGGGUGGCACCACAUCACUACACUACGCAUGACCGGGAAGGUCAUCGGGUUCUCUAUUAUCAUCCAGUCUGGUUACAUGAGGGUUACACCUUUAUUCAAAUUAAUACACUAAGACCUAAGUCUAAGCUAGCAUCCCAAAGUAUGUAAAUAUCUAUUACUAAUGGAAAUUUGCACCACUACUACUGCCAACAUGCAUAACUUUUCUUCAUCUAUGUUACUCAUAGGAGAUUUCCUAUGGUACUUUUACAACUGAAGGUUUUCAAUGAUAAUACUUACACACAACUCAAGGGAUUUAACUUACAAUGUACUUUUCUAGAAAAUAUAGGAUUUUCUAGGGAUUUGUACUACUCAUAAAUACAAAUUUUAGUUUUUUUUAUAUACUAUAAGUUUGCAAACACUUUUAUACUACAACGACACUAAAUUCUUAUGAACACACCAGCUUUAUGCUGAUACUCGUUUUCAAAAUAACUUGUAUCCUUAGGUCAAAGAUAGACAGGUACAGGUGCAGCUUUUGGAGAAGAUGGAGCACAUACAAGACCCAUCUUUUAUUUUGUUACACUUUUGGUGUCUAUUAAACUAUACAGAACACGUUUGUAAUUAAACUUACUAUAUAAAUGCAAUGGUUGUUGUCCCUUGUUUUUACUAUUAUGCAAUUGUUAUUGUUGAAAAAUGUUCUUAUGUAACCUUGUAUGUGACCAUCACUGAAAUAAGACGAACUAUUCUUAUUUUAUCUGACAAAUAUUAUCAGUUAUUUCAGGUUGCGCGGAUUCGUGAUCGAAUGGAAAAUACAAAAAUACGUGAAAGACGGAAUACACAAAGAUGGAAAAAUAGCCGCAUAUUUGGUCGUUUGAAGACAAAACAAAUCAACGGAUAAAAAUUGUCAAGACUUCAAAACCUUAAGGGACUUUAAUGGAAAUUUAUUUAUAAUGAAUAAAUUUAUGAGAUUUAUUGGCUACUGGAGAGUUAAAAGCAAAACCCAAAAACACGUAAGUUAGUUAGUAUGACAACUUGAUAGUCAAUUCCUACAACUACCGCUUUGACAAAAACCACACCUACAACCUACGUAUUCAUCAUUCUUGAGAGACACCUUUUAAGAUAUUUUGUUUUAUUUAUGUACAUAUAUAUGUAUGUGUGUGUAUGUAAUGCAAAUAGUGUUUUUUUUUGUUCAUCCCUUACGACUUCAACCUCAAGCAUAAGCUUCAUCCUUGUGAAGUAAAGUCAAGAACACCAAGAACCAACAACACCACCUUCAUUCAUCAUCACCUUAUACCUCCAUUUUAACCACAUAAUUCCACACUCAAAACAACCUCAAAAUACUCUCCAAACACCCUCCAAAUACCAUCCUUAAACCUCCUCCAAAAAACCUUUUUAAAUCACCUCACCAUCACCACCUUGCUGUUUUUCGACAUCAGAAUUUUCAUGAUAGAAAACAAAAAACUGAGCACAACAAAGCCAAAAUACUACUAUGAAUAUUUUCACCAUCAAUUCUUCAGGACCUUACCUACGUCUAGUAAUUUUGAUGGACGAUUUUGACCAUGGGAACACACCAGCUUUAUGCUGAUACUCGUUUUCAAAAUAACUUGUAUCCUCAGGUCAAAGAUAGACAGGUACAGGUGCAACUUUUGGAGAAGAUGGAGCACAUACAAGACCCAUCUUUUAUUUUGUUACACUUUUGGUGUCUAUUAAACUAUACAGAACACGUUUGUAAUUAAACUUACUAUAUAAAUGCAAUGGUUGUUGUCGCUUGUUUUUACUAUUAUGCAAUUGUUAUUGUUGAAAAAUGUUCUUAUGUAACCUUGUAUGUGACCAUCACUGAAAUAAGACGAACUAUUCUUAUUUUAUCUGACAAAUAUUAUCAGUUAUUUCAGGUUGCGCGGAUUCGUGAUCGAAUGGAAAAUACAAAAAUACGUGAAAGACGGAAUACACAAAGAUGGAAAAAUAGCCGCAUAUUUGGUCGUUUGAAGACAAAACAAAUCAACGGAUAAAAAUUGUCAAGACUUCAAAACCUUAAGGGACUUUAAUGGAAAUUUAUUUAUAAUGAAUAAAUUUAUGAGAUUUAUUGGCUACUGGAGAGUUAAAAGCAAAACCCAAACACACGUAAGUUAGUUAGUAUGGCAACUUGAUAGUCAAUUCCUACAACUACCGCUUUGACAAAAACCACACCUACAACCUACGUAUUCAUCAUUCUUGAGAGACACCUUUUAAGAUAUUUUGUUUUAUUUAUGUACAUAUAUAUGUAUGUGUGUGUAUGUAAUGCAAAUAGUGUUUUUUUUUGUUCAUCCCUUACGACUUCAACCUCAAGCAUAAGCUUCAUCCUUGUGAAGUAAAGUCAAGAACACCAAGAACCAACAACACCACCUUCAUUCAUCAUCACCUUAUACCUCCAUUUUAACCACAUAAUUCCACACUCAAAACAACCUCAAAAUACUCUCCAAACACCCUCCAAAUACCAUCCUUAAACCUCCUCCAAAAAACCUUUUUAAAUCACCUCACCAUCACCACCUUGCUGUUUUUCGACAUCAGAAUUUUCAUGUUAGAAAACAAAAAACCGAGCACAACAAAGCCAAAAUACUACUAUGAAUAUUUUCACCAUCAAUUCUUCAGGACCUUACCUAUGUCUAGUAAUUUUGAUGGACGAUUUUGACCAUGGGAAACCCCAGAGAGACGCGAGAGAGGAUUGGCUUUCCAGAGAGAUUUCUGUUUUCAAGUUCAGAAUCUUCAUGUUAGAAAACAAAAAACCGAGCACAACACAGCCAAAAUACUACUAGGGAGAUUUUCACCAUCAAUUCUUCAGAACCUUACCUACAUCUAGAAAUUUUCGUGGACAAUUUUGACCACAGGAAACGCCAAAGAGACGCGAGAGAGAAUUGGCUAUCCAGAGAGAUUUACUCCGAAAAUCUACAUCCAUCACCACCCAAAGCUCCUUCAACUUCACCAUCUUUGUUGCCUUACACCACAAAAAUUACAACCUUAUUCCACCUCCUAACACCCUCCAAAUACCCACUCCAACCUCAUCAAAUCUCCUCAAACACCCUAUACCCGUAUACAAAUACAUGACUCGUGUAUUUUGCAUUGUUUUGUAAACAACCCAUUUUACAUGAAAAUGAACUUUUUACUACUUAUCAAAUACCGGAUUGAUCUUUGAACAAAUAUCGACCAGUCGUUCCAAGAGUCCCAAUAUCGACCAGUCCUUCCAAGAGAACAAAUAUCGACCAGUCGUUCCACGAGUCCAGUUCAGUCAAUUUAUUGACGAACCUACUUGAUAUAUAUUUAUAUACUUAUAUANNNNNNNNNNNNNNNNNNNNNNNNNNNNNNNNNNNNNNNNNNNNNNNNNNNNNNNNNNNNNNNNNNNNNNNNNNNNNNNNNNNNNNNNNNNNNNNNNNNNNNNNNNNNNNNNNNNNNNNNNNNNNNNNNNNNNNNNNNNNNNNNNNNNNNNNNNNNNNNNNNNNNNNNNNNNNNNNNNNNNNNNNNNNNNNNNNNNNNNNNNNNNNNNNNNNNNNNNNNNNNNNNNNNNNNNNNNNNNNNNNNNNNNNNNNNNNNNNNNNNNNNNNNNNNNNNNNNNNNNNNNNNNNNNNNNNNNNNNNNNNNNNNNNNNNNNNNNNNNNNNNNNNNNNNNNNNNNNNNNNNNNNNNNNNNNNNNNNNNNNNNNNNNNNNNNNNNNNNNNNNNNNNNNNNNNNNNNNNNNNNNNNNNNNNNNNNNNNNNNNNNNNNNNNNNNNNNNNNNNNNNNNNNNNNNNNNNNNNNNNNNNNNNNNNNNNNNNNNNNNNNNNNNNNNNNNNNNNNNNNNNNNNNNNNNNNNNNNNNNNNNNNNNNNNNNNNNNNNNNNNNNNNNNNNNNNNNNNNNNNNNNNNNNNNNNNNNNNNNNNNNNNNNNNNNNNNNNNNNNNNNNNNNNNNNNNNNNNNNNNNNNNNNNNNNNNNNNNNNNNNNNNNNNNNNNNNNNAUCAAGUAUAUAUAUAUAUAUAUAUAUAUAUAUAUAUAUAUACAUUCACCACUACAAAAGGGUCGCUAUCAUACUAGAACAGAACAAAAGUAUUAAGAUUGUUGAACAGCACAAUUAAGCUUAAAGGCAUAUAGUCACAUCUGGGUGGAUGUAGCCUGAUCAACUACAUUUUUUUCAGGAGUCACUAGCAUGUGCCUAAGAGUGAUUGUGGUGUUGCAACAAGUCUAAAAACUUACCAACACUACCACAAGAACGUUAGAACAAGAAUACUAUAUGAGUAUUAUGCAUUCUACUAAUUACGUAUGUGAUAACUAAAGGGUCGUUACUGGUAGGACAAUGGUUGCUAAGUGGAUACACCACGGUUACAUGUGGCUAGGGCGUUAUAGACUCAGAAUCUGUGACCUUUGCUUCAUUUCCUGUUCUUGUUUGAUUGGGGAUCUGAAGUUAGGGUUGCUUAUUCGAAGGACUAUCUUGCUUCGGUUACAUGUAAUUGGUAUGUAUUACGCAAGUAUUAGGUCGACCAAUAACGAUCCAUCUCAUAAGUAUCCUAGAUAAAUACGUCUAUUAACCUUUCUUUCCCCCUUUCUCGCGUAGAUAGCAGUGCUGGCUUCCACCAUCCUGGCGAUCCGUAUUAUCUAAACCAGGGCAAUGGAGGAUGGCUCGAUGAGGAGCCAGAAGAUGAUCACCCGAUCCCUUUGGAUGAUCAUCAUGCAGAAGGCUUCUCGGAUAGCUCCAGCUCCGAGCCAAAAGUUAACAACCUACCCCCUAUAGCUCCAAACCCCAACCCCCGUCCGACAUUUCGAGGUCCCACUCCCAUGUGGGCAAUAACCUAGAACCGAUGAAGCGAGGAGCUGGGUCAGCCCUUACUUUACAAUGGAGACCAAAGCUUCUACAACAUAAGCGAGGGAGGAUCAGCAGACCAUGUCCUGCCCAUCAUGGUCCGAAGGAUUUCCAGGAACGUCGAGCAAGGUCAAGCAGCCAUUGGCCGAGUUGUAGAAGUGGAUGCCAACUCAAAUCUCAACACUGUUCGCAUCUGCCAACUUGAAGAAGCUAUGGAUAGGGCAAGGAGGACCAACGAGGCUCUGUAGCAACAGAUAGUUGCAUCCUGAGCCGAAGUUAGGGAACUCCGAGCACGUCAGAGGACUCAUGAAUGACAUCUCUAGGAAGUUAUGCGCCAACUUGCUGACCUGAGGGUUUGCCCAAUAGGAACCCGUCGCCAGUAGAAGAUGUCGAACCAUCCCGCUCUUUUGUUUAAGGACUAGCAUUUUCUUUUCUAUGCUCAGUAGAGAACUUGUCUGUAAGCAUUUCUAACUUUGAAAGUACUCUAACUAGGCCUCUAGACUGCCAACAUUUUCCUUUUGGUUUGAUGUAACACCUGCUAUGACUCUCUCUCUCUCUCUCUCUCUCUCUCUGAUUUUUGGACUAUGUUGAUUUAGUCCAUGGAACACUCUUAGCAUACUUGCAACAAACUCUUACUAUUGUCAUCAUCCCUAUUAACUUUCAGUGAAAGAUGCCUCCUCGAAAGGCGCCCAAACAGAGGAAGGACAACAACUCAAACUCCACCUCCACCACCUCCUCCCCCGCAAUUCGAUCCAGUGCUGUUUCAAACAGCUGUGACGGCAGCUAUGGCCCAAAUAAAUUCUGGCGAUGCUAGUGGAGCCGGAAUGGGAACCAACUCUAGACAUGGUGAAAUCCACUCUCGUACACAGGGGUGUACUUACAAAGAUUUCAUGAACUGUAAGCCCACAUUUUUCAAUGGGACCGGAGGAAUCCAUAGACUCCGUUAAGAUUCCGGUACGUUCAUUCUCGAUAGCACAUAUGCAUGUAUACUAUAUAAUAGCAAUACAGAGAGGAGUAUUGUGAGUCGUAGAUGUAAUAAAUUUCUCAACCAAAAACCUCAAAUACUUAAACGAAAUAUUUAUAGUAGAAUUGGAAUAAUCAAAACACUAGAGACAUGUACAUAGGGUGCACUCUAACACUAAAUCAACCAAUUCGUUCAAAUCAUCCUAAAACCGGUCACAAUAAAAAGUUACGACACUUUCGUGUUAACAACGCAUUAGUUAGUUUCCUCACCAUAUCGAUAUCAUAUAUUAUGAAAGGUCGUUCGCCUAAACCCAUCGAGUAACAACACCCUCGUCGUCUAUGGCGACAAACCGGACACAAACCCCCGACUCACCUUUUACAUCAAGACUCAGAAGUACCUACACAUGAGGUACCACGCCGUCCUAGCCCGCACUGUGGAUAAGAAACAAGAAUAGAAAGACAUCAGGAAUGUUCCAAAAGCCCGUAACCCUCCCGAUAUAUUCCUAGAAGAACUCCUGGGAAUACCAUCCAUACGGCAACUCAAGUUCAAAAAUCGACUUAAAUGCAGUAGUUGUGGAAAAGGGUUGUUGUAAAUGCCAUCUCACCCAAGUUAAUCACCCCACUCAAGUAGAGACUAUAGACCCAUACUAGUGAAUCUAUGAUUACUAAGUGUAUAUAUUAGAGCCCUAUAUAAUUAAGAUUCUAUGGACUUAGGGUUGGUAAUUCCGCUUUAAAUCUUUUUCCUUGUUUGGAUGUGGGCUUAGAAUAGAAUCACUGAUUUGACUGUCUUUUCAAUCCUAAUUAUAUAUGACUUAUAAGCACAAAGAGAUGAUAGAUGAAUCAGUUAUGAGUCAUACCAUGAACUCCAUGACAAGUUACCCAAGACAGCGGAUGGACACGCUACCACUUGAGCGAGCGUAGACAAAUCAACCAAACCCACACACUUUCUACCAACCAAGGCUACAAAGAAAAAUAGAAAAGCUGAUAGGAGCAUAUCACAAGAAGAUUGCGAGACUGCAUAGUAUACCACUAUCUAUCAUUUUGGAUAAGGGACAGGCGAUUCGCCUCGUGUUUUCAAUAGUCAUUAAAGAAGUCCUUAAUAUCACCCUCAAACUGACAGACAAAGCGGAAGAACCAUUCAUCGAAUCCUUAUACAACAACUAUUACAUUAACAUCAAAGUCGCGUCAUUCGAAGUUCCUAACAACACUCUCACCAGCCCCCAGAUCAUACGAGAAAAUAUAGAGAAGAUUGUUCAAACUCGUGAAUAAUUGAAGGCAUCCCAGAAUCGGAAGAAGAGCUUGUCUGAUGAGACUCUUGUUAUUCCACUUGACGAAAUUGAAGACAACGAGAGUCUAAACUUCAUCGAAGAACCGGUGGAAAUCAUGGGUCAGGAGGUCAAAAGGGCUAAACAAAGCCGCAUACCCAUAGUGAAGGCCCGUUGGAGCGCCAAGCGUGGACCUGAAUUCACCAGGGAACGCGAGAAACAAAAAAAAAAAAGAAACACCCCCAAUUGUUUAGUGAUUUCCCAUCCACAAGUUCAAUUUCGGGCCGGAAUUCUUUUAACGGGGGGAGAAUGUAACAAUUGGUAAAAAUAGGAACAAUCGUACGAUGCUAUGUUUUGAUUAUUAAGCAAUAUGAGUAUUUUAUCAAGAAUGGUUGAAGUAAUUUAACCUCUUUUAUUUAAAUAAGUUCUUGUGAAAUAUAAAACAAGUAACUAUUGAUAAAUUUCGUUAUGAUGUAUGACUACGAACCAUCACCGGUUUGUGAAAAUUAGCAUAUAACAUCAUUUGAAUGCAACAAAUUUAAUUUUUGUAUCAACAUGUAUGUAGUUGAUAAUUAAGUUAGGUUCUAUGUAAAACUUGUGCUUAAUAGAUGCGGAGGAUCUAAAUUUGACAAAUAUACGAACCAAAGUGACAAAACGUGUUAAACGAUAUGGUUAACCGGUUAAAUGUCACGAAAUUAUACAUUGGUCAAUAAAUUUUAUAUUUAAAUAAAUUAAAAUAUAAAAUGAAUUAUUAUAAGGUAUAAUUAAAAUGUAUUUAAGUGUUUUUGAAUAAAAAGAAUAAAACAUAAACAUUAAAGUUCAAAUACACAAAAACUACAUUGUUAUUUUAUACUAAGUAUACAUGUAUGUAUUUGUAUAUAUGUAUUAUUAUCUAGUGAAUGACUAGUUAUGGGUCAUGAUUUAAAUGAUUUCAUGUAAGGAAUAUGAUUUCUAAAUCAAUUAAGAUAAGAGAAUUGGUGGAGAUAUGUGCCAACUUAACUAAUAAGUGCUUAAUCACUUAAGACAUUUUACUAAGAAUGCUUAUUAAUCCCUCUUCUAAUUUUCGAGAUUAAGACCUUCCCUCUCCUUAACUAGAACUCCUAACUAACUAAAUAACUAGUAGUUAGUUAGUUAACUAACUCUAUCUCUAAACAACCACCCAAGCAAGUGGCUAGACAAGAUCACAUCACUUAAACUCACAUCCCAUCACAAGCUAGUCUAGGUUUUGUCCCCUUAUCCUCUUCCACCCUUUCCUCCUUCAUAACCACGAAAUUUCCUCUUCAUUUUACCCUCAUUUGACCAGCCAAUACUCCAAGUAAUUACUCUCAACCUUCAUCUCAUUUUCAAGCACAAGAACUUCCUUCCAAAGCCAUCAAAACCAUGAACUAAAGGGUUGCUGUCCCUUUUGUGUUUCAGCCACCAUUUCACCCAUCUACACCUUCCUUUUGCUUGAUAUUUUUACCACCAAAUACCCCUGGAAGUUACUUGUUUUGAUACUCAAAAUUAUUGAUUCAAAACAGUGAGUAAACUACCCUUUUUCUUGCACUUUUGCUGUGAAAUUUUCGUGACAGCAACAUAGCCAAAAGAGUGGCUGUUUUGGAGCAUCAAACCAACAACCAAAAGUUCAUCUUCAACUUUCCAUUCUUCAAGUAUUCACAUAAGGUGAGUUCAUACCCCUACAUUUUCAUGUUUUAUUCAAGUUUUAAGGGGGGGAAUACAAGUUAGAACACUAAACAUAACUCAAAUUUAAAUGACAGCUUUCUACAGAAAAGUUGAGUCCUGUUCACGGACUGUUUUGACCAUCUUAAACUUAAUAUCUUUCAAAACUGUACAAUAUGCAAAUAGUUCAAGUUUAUACCUUUCUAAUGACUACUCGCACACGUUCAUACGAUUUUUCUACAAUUUAUGGCGAUUUUUAUAAAACUGCCUGUCAUUUCAGAAGUGAUUUCGGACCAGUCUAUGAAGAUGUUCAUUUUCACACUAGUUUGAGACCACUAAAAAUCAUAAUAAAAAUUAGGAACAAAGUAGACUCAUUUUAUAAACUCUCAGGCGUGACGGAUUAAGUUUUUGACUUACGAUGAUUUUUCUAUGAGUUUUCUAAAAACAGGGACAGUAAAGGGUAAAAUUGUCUAAAGUGGUUUAUAGAUUCAUUAACACUUUCUAACAUUUUUGAGCAAUGUUUAUACAUUAAGGAAGUUAAUACAGAAUCAUUAAAAUAUGUUUAAUUACAAUUUUUACAAAAGUGAUAAGUACAAAAAGGUAUUUAGUAUCAAACUUAAGGAUUAUUUCAUGCAAAGUUUCUAAUAAAAACGUAAGAAUAUGAACAACAAUUACGAAACAUACCAAAUCAUCUUUUAGAUAUUAUAAAUAUAUAUAACCAUUUGCAUAUAUAUGUUUUGUUUACAAACGUGUCUUCUGCAUAAAAAAUAUACAAAUAUAGUUUACGAAACUCUACUCCAUUUGUAUCCUAUUGAGAAAAGGGUAAAAUAUUAUCAAAAACAAAUCUAAAGAUUUCAUGUUGUUUUUUAUAGCUAUCCCGGUCUUAGGGGAUGAUCAUUUAUACAAACAUUUUCAGCACAAAAACACGUAAACUCGUUGAACAAAUUUAGUGAGUUUUGUCUUCACUGUACCUUAUAAAGUACACACGAAAGUCCUGUUAAAUAUAACCAGAGUCUCUUGUAGGGAGAGUGUGAUAGUUGUGUAUAGAUCUAUACUGGGACCGACAAUCCCGCACCUUAGCUGCUUGCAACAGCUAGACCGGCAGGUCUGGGGGUGACAAAUGUCAUAACGAAAUCGACACCUGAAGAACGUUGCGAACAAGACAGUCUGGGUCAAUCAAGCAUGGUUAUAAGAUAAAAAUUAAAACUCACAUAAAACAACAAUGACACUUUUAGUUUACGCAAAGACAGUCUUCAAACAGUUUUAUAUACAAACAAAACUGCAUAACAUCAUUUUAAGUAGGAAAAUUACUUAUACGCUUCGGUCUUGGUUCAUUUAAGGCCACAUCUCAUUUUAGGGAAAAUAUAGGAUUUUCCGGAAAACAAACAUUACUACAUUUCAUAGAAAAGGUUUACAAAUAUACAUACAAAUGCUUAUGAACUCACCAACUUAAAUGUUGAUACUCUCUUUUCAAAUAACUUGUAUUCUCAGGAAAUCAGUAAAUCAGGUAACAACUGGCUUUGAGGAUGGGACGCUUAGGCGUCUAAACAAAUCUUUUGACAACAUAUUGUAAUUGAUAUUUUGAAACAUGUAAUACGUACAAAUGAUGUAACNUUAAGGGACUGGAAUUGUAAUUAUAAGAUAAUUGCUAUUUGGGCUAUGGAUUGCCUUGUAUUAAGGGGUGGACGAAUUCUAUGGGGAAGCCCAUAAAAAAUCGUCCAAAGCCUUAAUUAAAUGAGUCCAUGGGUUGCUUAGGGCUUAAGCAUCCAAAUUAUGGUUUCCUUGUUAGAUAACCCUAAUAGCCUCACUAUAUAUAGAUCCCUUAAGGACCAAAAACGUGGCUAAGACUCCUCUAGGGUUUGUAGACGUUUUUGGGCAGCCUCCAUCCUCUCUCCUCAUCAUCCUCUUGCUUAUGGUGUUUAUGAACCAUUAGAGGAGUGACACUUGUGACUCUAAGCCUUCCAAAGUCAAUACAAGGAGAUUUGGGAUUGUUAUUGCUACAUAACAAUCAAGGUAACAUCUUAAACCUAUUCUUAUGUUAAUAUGAUUACUUGUAUGCUAGAAUUAGGGUUUAUAGUCUUGGAUAACUUGCAUGUACAAUAGAGAAAACUAGAUCCGAGCAUUAGGGUUUGUAUGAGCAUAUAGGAUGUUCUUAGGACCAAAACCCAUCAGUAUUCUCAGGAAAUCAGUAAAUCAGGUAACAACUGGCUUUGAGGAUGGGACGCUUAGGCUUCUAAACAAAUCUUUUGACAACAUAUUAUAAUUGAUAUUUUGAAACAUGUAAUACGUACAAAUGAUGUAACUUUUUCAAUUAUAUAUAUGUUGGUUGUGUUUGCUUUGAACAUUUAUACUCAACUGUUAUGAUACACUACAUGAUAGUCACCCGCCCCUGGACGUUUCCGCCAUUCGGUUUGGGGGUGUGACAAUCUCAUACCUGUAUCGAUCAAGAGUUUCGAUGUCAUUGUUGGCAUGGACAGGUUGAGCCUUCAUCGCGCGGAUAUUCUAUGCUUCGACAAAGCCAUUCUCCUAAAUCCACCGAAUCACGAAACUCUGUUGAUCUACGGAGACAAACCCGGUAUGAGCCUUCGUAUCGUCUCAAGUAUUCAAGCCCAGAAAUACUUGCGUAAGGAAUAUCACACCUUACUUGCACACGUUGUCGACACGAUCCAGAAAGCGAGAGAUCCAAAAGACAUCCCUGUUGUAUGCGAUUUCCCUGACGUCUUUCCAGAGGACCUUACAGGUUUACCUCCCAAACAUCAGGUUGAAUUUAGAAUAGACCUAGUCCCAGGAGCUACCCCCGUAGCUAAGUCGAUCGCCCUAUCGUUUAGCGCCUGCAGAGAUGCAAGAACUAUCCGGUCAACUUAACGAGCUGCUCAGCAAGGGCUUUAUGAGGUCGAGCUUCUCACCCUGGGGAGCUCCGGUCUUGUUCAUGAAGAAGAAGGAUGUAUUGUUCCGUAUUUGCAUCGAUUAUAGGUAUCUCAACAAACUCACGGUCAAAAAUCGCUACCCUCUUCCUCGUAUAGACGACCUAUUCGACCAAAUACAAGGGGCGAGUUACUUUUCCAAUAUUGAUCUUACGUCCGGGUAUCACCAGUUACGUGUGCUUGAGGAGGAUGUUUCGAAGAGAGCCUUCUGAACUCGUUACGGACAUUACGAGUUCGUAGUGAUGCCCUUUGGACUGACUAACGCACCUGCAGUGUUUAUGGACUUGAUGAAUAGGGUGUGUCGUCCGUACUUAGAUCAGUUCUUCAUCGUCUUUAUUGAUGAUAUACUCGUCUACUCUCGAAGCGAGGAAGAACACAGGAAUCAUCUAUGACGACUCCCGGAAACCCUACGAUCGGAGAAGCUAUACACAAAGUUCUCUAAGUGCGGAUUUUGGAUCUGAAGAGUUGAGUUCUUAGGACACGUGGUUAGUGAGGAAGGAAUCCACGCGGACCCAUCCAAGAUUAAAGCUAUCGAGAACUGUUCAGCACCGAAGAUGCCUACGGAAAUUCGUCAAUUUCUGGGCCUCGCUAGCUACUACCGCAAAUUCAUUCAGAACUUCUCUUGGAUUGUGAAGCCUCUUACCAUGUUAACACAGAAAGGCGUAACGUUUGACUGGGAAGAGAAACAGAAGAAGGCAUUCCAGACUAUGAAGCGAGCCCUAUGCACCGCACCGGUGUUAUCCCUUCCCGAAGGGACAGAAGAUUUCAUGGUAUACUGCGAUGCAUCGAACCAAGGGCUCGGUUGUGUCUUGAUGCAACGAGGUAAGGUCAUCGCCUAUGCCUCAAGACAGCUGAAGAUGCAUGAGGUUAACUACACCACUCACGAACUCGAGUUAGGGGAGGUUGUAUUCGCUCUAAAGAUCUGGAGACAUUACUUGUAUGCAACGAAGAGCAUAAUAUACAUUGAUCAUAAAAGCCUCCAACACAUACUGAACCAGAAGUAGCUCAAAAUGAGACAACGACGAUGGGUCGAACUACUCAAUGAUUACGACUGUGAGAUUCGUUAUCAACCGGGGAAAGCCAAUAUGGUAGCAGACGCCCUAAGUAGAAAAGAGUAUUCUGGUCGAAGAUUCAAGUCGUUAACAAUAACUAUCCAUUCGCAUCUAUCCGCACAGAUUAAGGAGGCUCAGCUCGAAGCCUUAAAACCUGAGAAUGUGGCGGGAGAAUCCCUCCGUGGAAUGGAUAAGAACUUGGAGGUCAAGGGUGACGGAGCCUAUUAUCUCAUGGACCGAAUCAGGACCCUGCGCCACGGAGGUUUCAGAGACUUGGUCAUGAAGGAAGCACACAACACUCGAUACUCCAUUCACCCAGGUUCAGCUAAGAUGUAUCUGGAUCUCAAAAAGCUUUACUGAUGGCCUAAUAUGAAAGCAGAGAUUGCUACCUUCGUGAGCAAGUGCCUUACUUGCGCAAAGGUCAAGGUCGAAUACCAGAAGCCAUCAGGUAUUCUCCAACAACCGGAGAUACUGGAGUGGAAGUGGGAGCAGAUCACCAUGGAUUUCAUAACCAAGCUACCCAAGACAACGGGUGGGUUGGAUACCAUUUGGGUCAUCGUCGACAAAUUGACCAAGUCCGCGCACUUCCUACCUUUCAAAGAAACAGACAAGAUGGAGAAACUCACAAGGACAUACAUUAAGGAGAUAGUACGACUGGAUGGUGUCCCUGUAUCUAUUAUCUCUGAUAGAGAUAGUAGGUUUACUUCGAGAUUUUGGCAAUCACUGCAAAAAGCAUUAGGGACGAGGCUGGACAUGAGUACAGCCUACCAUCCGUAGACUGACGGACAAAGUGAGAGGACGAUCCAAACCUUAGAGGAUAUGUUGCGAGCUUGUGUGAUUGACUUUGGUAAGGCGUGGGAUACACACUUACCCCUUGUGGAGUUUUCCUACAACAAUAGUUAUCAUACGAGCAUCAAAGAAGCUCCAUUUGAAGCCCUCUACGGCCGGAGGUGCAGAUCCCCUCCGUGCUGGGCUGAGGUGGGUGACACUCAAUUAGCUAAAGGAUGAGUUCCUGACAGCACUCUCACAGGUUCGGAGAUCAUUCGAGAAACGACCGAAAAGAUUGUACAGAUUCGUGAACGAUUAAAAUCCGCUAGGGAUCGACAGAAAAGCUAUGCAAAUAAACGAAGAAAACCUUUCGAAUUCGAUGUGGGAGACAGUGUCCUUUUGAAAGUCUCGCCCUGGAAGGGCACGAUAGGCUUCGGAAAGUGUGGAAAGCUGAACCCAAGGUACAUAGGGCCUUUUGAGAUUCUUGCUAGAGUCGGCCCCGUAGCUUACAAACUCAAUCUACCCCACAAGCUAAGUAACAUACAUCCUACCUUCCACGUCUCAAACUUGAAGAAAUGCCUAUCCGACGAGACUCUCGUAAUUCCACUUGACGAGAUCGAAGUCAACGAGAGCCUCAACUUCGUGGAAGAGCCUGCAGAGAUCAUGGACCAAGAAGUAAAAUGAACGAAACAAAGCCGCAUUCCAAUUGUGAAGGUUCGAUGGAAUGCCAAACGAGGACCGGAGUUCACUUGGGAGGGUGAGGAUCAAAUGAAACUCAAAUAUCCCCAUCUCUUUGCUUAGUAGUACUGUAAUAAUUUAACUGUUUGAAUUCUAAAUUUCGGGACGAAAUUCCCUUAAUGGGGCGAUGAUGUGACAACCCAAAAUUAUUUCCGUCAUUAUAACCCGUUUCCAUUAAAUAGAAUAUUCUAUUUUAUAAAAGGUCCGUUAAUUUAGGGUCAACAAAUAAAUAAAUGUUUUAUUUUAUUUGUAUUUUAUGUUAAUAUUGUCGUAACAAAAUAAAUAAAACUCGUAAAUUUCAUUUCCAUUUAGUUGGAAAAAGUGUAUUUUUAUUACGACCAUUUAACCGGGUAAAAAGUUUAAACCUCGUUAAACAUAAGUAUCGGGUAGUCGAAUACCGGGUACAACACCCAAGCCUUAUAUAAAGGAGGGUGGGCAUCCCAUAGAAACCUUUUACCACACUAGACCCACUUUCUCUCUCUACUCUCUCUCCUCAAGUCCGAUUUCAUCCAAAAACCGCAAGUUUCCGCCUCCAAAACGUAAGUUCUCUUGCCCUAACUUGUUCUAGACAUCAUUGAUUUGUGUUUUAACCCAAAAAUCGUUCUUGAAGGCUGAAAAAGAGGAGUUUAUGGCCUAAGAACCUCCUUAGGCCGUAAACCCCUAAAAUGUUGUCAAAAGUGCCAAAUUUCUCUCCUUUGAGCUUAGAAACAAGUUUUGGACUUAACCUAGGAGUGUUUGAACCUUGAGUCAACAAUUUUUAGGGCUUGGAAGAGGGUUUACGGUCCAAGCACAUGCUUAGACCGUAAACACCCUCUAAGCUUGCAAACCAAGCCCAAAACACUUCCAAACCACAUUUAGGCUUAAGAUUUGGCUUAGGGAGUUGCUAUUUCGGACUUGGAACACCUAAACAUCAACAUUUGAGGGGUAAACUAGAGUUUACGGCCCAGGCAUAUGCUUAGACCGUAAACUCCCCUAAAACAUGCCAAAUGAAAGUUUAAGCCCCCCUAAAGAGCCUUAUACCCUCACUAGAACUUGUUAGGAAGGAGCUAAGGGCCUUGUAAUCAAAGAAUGGAGGUGUCCAAGAGUUUACUAUCGUAAACCAUGGGGUUUACAGCCGUAAACUCCCAAGGAGUGGUCCUUGGACCUUAAACUCCAAGGAAGUACACUUUUGGAACCUUAAACACCCCUAUAGCCUUGUAUAUUACCUUAGAAUCACUCCUAAAACCACAUGGGGCUUGAAAACACUCAAAUACCCUCCUCCCAUGAGUUUACGGCCGUAAACUCAUGGGGGAUGUGGUCUCCCAACUGUAAACUCACUCAAGGUGAGUUUUAGAAGAGUAAACUCCAUGGUGAGGUCUUAUACUCUUUCCUUGCAACCCAUUAGCCUUCUAGCACUCAACCAUAAGACCUUUAAUCACACUAGGAUGUCUGUAUGUGUAUAAUUAGAGUCUAAAUCACUAAUUACUUGUAAACAUAUGUCUUCAUAUGUUACUAGGGUCAUAAAGGGUGUACAAGUCUCUACUUGACACCAAACACUCAUCCGACACUUCCACCCGAUCUACUCAUUGCAGGUGAGUUCAUACCCCUCAAUGAACUUUUUUUAUAUGUUUUUACAUGUUUUAGGAGGGGGGGGGGGAUACAAGGAUAAAGCUACAAGUUUUUAUUAUUAAAUCAUAUGUGAUUCACAAAUUAUCUUUAAAAAGGGAUUUUUCUACACUUUUAGCUGUUUACCAAUAAAACUGUUUUAGUUGUUUAUCAAAUGCAUUUUUAAGAUUAUAUUGUGGUCAAACUAUUUUCAAAACUGUUUUUAAAUCAUUUUUCUGUUAAUAAAAAUAUACAUACACAAAUAUAUUUAUAUAAGUAAGACUUGAAGGACUUAGGACCGAUAGCUCGCCUUAUUUCAUGUUCUUGUUUGAUGUAGUCUUAGGGUAUCUGUUAUCCGUCCGACUGUCGUUGAUUUCUUAGUUAUAUAUCAUAUAUAUUUGUGUUAGAUAUGAAAGUCAUCAUCUCAUACAAUACCUUUGUUAUUCAAAGGCAGGAAAUCAUACACUCUAGUUAACUAUCAUAUGUAUAGUUAAGACUACUACUCGUUACCUCUACUACUACUAUACUCACUAUAACUGCUAUUACUACAAGUUAAUACACGUAUAAGAGAACACUCUAUGAACUAUACAAAAAGACUACUAUACUAUAAUACAAGAGAAUACACGAAUCCAGAGUAUAAAACUCUAUCUCUCUAUAAGACACCCUACCGCACUUACACCAUGUGACCAGGGCUUUCCGGAAGGAAGGCAACACUACAUAUCUAUACGGGGCAGACACUAUUACAUCCCGACUGUUAACUACAGUCUGAGCCGACUAGGCGCAGGGGUGGCACUACAUCACUACACUACGCAUGACUGGGAAGGUCAUGGGGUUCUCUAUUAUCAUCCAGUCUGGUUACAUGAGGGUUACACCUUUAUUCAAAUUAAUACACUAAGAUCUAAGUCUAAGCUAACAUCCCGAAGUAUGUAAAUAUCUAUUACUAAUGGAAAUUUGCACCACUACUACUGCCAAAACAGGCAUAACUUUUCUUCAUUUAUGUUACUCAUAGGAGAUUUUCUAUCAUACUUUUACAACUGAAAGUUUUCAAUGAUAAUAGUUACACACAACUCAAGGGAUUUAACUUACAAUGUACUUUUUUGGAAAAUAUAGGAUUUUCUACGAAUUUCUACUACUCAUAAAUACAAAUUUUAGUUUUUUUUAUAUACUAUAAGUUUGCAAACUCUUUUAUACUACAACGACACUAAAUUCUUAUGAACUCACCAACUUUAUGGUAAUACCGAUUUUCAAAAUAACUUGUAUCCUCAGGUCAAAGAUAGACAGGUACAGGUGCAGCUUUUGGAGAAGAUGAAGCACAUACAAGACCCAUCUUUUAUUUUGUUACACUUUUGGUGUCUAUUAAACUAUACAGAACACGUUUGUAAUUAAACUUACUAUACAAAUGCAAUGGUUGUUGUCGUUUGUUUUUACUAUUAUGCAAUUGUUAUGAUAUUGUACAUGACGUCCUCCACCCCAGAACUUAUUCCGCCGUUAUCGGUUUUGAGGUGUGACACCGAAGGGCAUCACGAAAAAUUCGUAAUGACCAUAACGAGUUCGAAAAGUAGUCUUGAGAAUGGCCUCAUAUCGGACUUUGAGUUGAUGAUAACCGGAUCUCAUAUGUAUCUUUGAAAAGUAACUUGCCUUUGAAGCUGGUCAAAUAGAUCAUUGAUUCGCGGAAGUGGAUACCAGUUUUUGAUGGUGAGCUUAUUCAGUUCCCUAUAGUCGAUGCACAUCCUGAAGGAUCCGUCUUUCUUUUUAACGAAAAGAGCUGGAGCUCCCCAUGAAGAUAAGCUUGGUCUAAUGAAUCCUUUAUCCAAGAUUUAACUUAGUUGGCUUGGCAAUUCCUACAUUUUAGCAGGAGCCAAUCUAUAGGGUGACUUGGCGAUCAGAGUGGCUCCAGGCUUUAGGUCGAUUUGGAAUUUGAUUUGUCGUUAUGGGGGUAUUCCAAAAAGUUCCUCUGGAAACACAUCCGGGAAGUAACAUGCCACUAGGAUGUUUUGAUUGCUCGCUACCUCUUUGGUUUUAUCCACCACGUGAUCAAGGAAUGCGUAGUUCUUCUUUUGUAAACACUUUUGCGCCUUGAUACUCGAGAUACGGUGAAGGUUUGCACCGGGUUUAUCUCUAUAUAUUAUAAGGGUUUCGUGGUUAGGAAGAUGAAGGUGAACGACCUUCUCGUGACACAUAAUAUCAGCAUGAUGGGGGCUCAACCAAUCCAUGCCGAUGAUCACAUCAAAACUCCUAAUAUUUACAGGCACUAAGUUUAUUUGGAAGGUGUGAUUGUUUAGAGUUAGUGCACACCCCACAUAGAUAUUCUUAGUUAACAUAUAUAAUGUUGGUGAGUUAAUAAGUAUGGUUGAAUAAAUGUCUUUGUAUCUUUCGUAAAAAUCCAGAAAAUUCGAUAUUUUCUGUAAAUUGUUUGAAAAUGAUGAGAAAAUCAAGUAUGAUUGCAUGUGUGAAAUUCAUAGUUAUAAUGUAUAUGAGUCUAGUUUAAAAUCACUGUAUCAUGAAUAAGUGAUAAACGUAUAUGGAUAUUUUUCCCAGAAAAUCCGAUAUUUUCUAUCUUAAUGUCUAGGUUCUUGUCUCUAUGAUUAAGUGUUUUCGUGUUGACACAAUUUAAGAAUUAAUCUUUUAUGUGUUUAAGUGGUGUUGAAUCCUUACAUGAGCCAUAAUAACCAUGCAUGAUAAUGACUAAGUCGCCCGUCUUGGCAUUUUUCCAUAUGCCGGUCUUGCUAAGGAUGUUGUCGCCCUAGACUGGCCUAUUCUAGCUGUAGCGAGCAGCUAUGGCGUGCGAGGUCACCCCGUAUAGAUCUAUACACAAACUCUCGCUUUCCAUCUAGGAAACUCUGAUUAUAACUACAGGCUACGAUUGUACACUCAUAGGUGCGAACCGACAAGUCUUAUUAGAUUCUCAACCUUUCCUGUUUGAUAAGAUUUUCCCCAUGUUUAAUGUUUUACACGUAGGUUAUAGAAUUUUCCAUUCCAAAGGUAAGUAUACAAAUUCAUAAACUAUGUACAAGUAUAUUUUCGAUCUACAAAGUAUGUGAAUUUUCAUUCCAAGCCCAAUUAGCAUGUAAAUGGGACACAAGGGUCCAAUAACAUAAUAAAAUGGUAAUUUAGGCCCAAUAGACAUGAAAAUGGGCCAGAAAGGCCCAAUAAACAAGUAACCCAUAAAUUAGGUUCAAAUUAACAUUUAAGUGGGUCGUAAGGGCCACUAAACAUGUCAUGGAAAACAUUGGCUUAAUAUGCAUUUAAUUGGGCCCUUAGGGUCCAAUGGCCAAGAUCGUGAAUAUUAGGUCCAAUAAAUAAUUAUGUAUGUGUUUCGUUCGUUUGUUUUAAUCCGUUGUUUGUUUUAGCUUGAGGUUUAUUAGUUUGAUAUUAAAAAUAUCAUUUUUCGUAAAAACGACAUUUUUGGCCAAUAACCUUCCAAUGUUUAAUUAAGGCCAAAAGUUUGUAAAUACGACACUAUAUUCCAUAAAUUAUAAAAAUUUGCAAUUUUUUCUCAAAUGUCUAAAAAUUUAUUGUUUUAGUCCAAAAAGUUUUAUUUUCAAUUUUAGAACCCUAUUUUACAAAAAAGUGCAUAUUAAACCCCUUGUUUGUAAAAAUUUACACUUUCGGCCCAAUUUUUGGAAAAUUUUACAUUUUUGGUCCAAUUUGUAAAUAAUUGUUAUUUUUACCCUUAAAUUUGGUUUAUUUACAUUUAUGCUCCAAACUUUGGGUAAUUCUCAUUUCUAACCCCAAAAAAUUUCAAUUUUUCGCAAUUUGGGCCCCAAAAACCGUGAGGCCCAAAUGUUGGCCCAUUAAGCUUAAAUUUUCAUUUUUGACCUUUUCUAAAGUAUGAUUAGCAUAGAAAAUACCUUUAUAUUCAUAUAGGACCUGUUUGGCCCUUAUGAAAGAUUAAAUGACACUUUUUACCUUUAUGUUUUGAUUUCUUGACAAUUUUGGACCUUUUAACAAGGUUGUUAUUGAAAUCUUUUGUAUCUUAAACAUGUAAUCAUUUCUGGCUUGAUAAUGUGAUAUAUAUAAUGUCAUAGUUCAUAGACUUUUGUUCAAUAUUACUUAAAAUUUCUAGAUCUACAAAGAUCUAACAUAUUUUUACCAAAUAAGUUAAGCAAGCACACAAGACAUGCAUAUAACACAUAGAGGUGGCAUUCCAAAGUUAACUCCCUAAUUCUGUUCUUUUUCCUUUUUUUGUUCAUUCAUUGGCCGAGAUUUUUCGGCCAAGAAGAUAAUAGUGGAGUAGUUUGGGCCCAUUAACUUUAGUUAGGAUAUUUUGAUCCUAAACAUAGGAUUUUUCGGCCCAUUGGGCUCUUGGAAGCAUUCAUGGCCCAAUUAGAAUAAAAGAAUGGGCUUAUGGAUCACUAAUGGUUAAUUGAAAUAGUUAUGGCCCAAUAAGUCCCAUUAGGGUUAGAAUGAAUUAUUCUAGAUCGAAAUGACACAAUAUGUUUUAGAUUUAUGAAUUAGGUCCAAUCAGGAUCCAAUUAGGGUUUCUAAGUCCAAUAAGGUUUAGUUGGGUGCUUAUUGGUCCAUUAGGCCCAAUAAGGAACUCCUAGUCCAAUAUGAACUUAAACCGGGAUUUUUACGGUUUUUAGUCUCUUUGUUGAACGUGAUUGAUGAGUCUAAUGAGCAUUGUGUGAGAUUUACUUAGAGUAUAAGAUUUACAAUAAGUGGAUGGUUACACAGGAAUAGAAUUUCCUAGUUGUAAUGCUAGUUGUGACAAUUAACAUGGCACGUUUUCUGGAAAAUGUAUGGUCUUGACGGUGCUUGACGGUCAAAAUCGGUCAAAGUCAGCCAUGGCGGUGCUUGAUGGCCCUUGGUGGUCUUGGCGGUCAUUGGCAGGAACUUUUUAAAAAAUUCAAAAAAUUGAAUUUUCAAAUAUUACAUGAAAGUUUUAAAUUUUCAAAUUUUUAAUCUUUCAAUUUUUAAAAUAUUACACAAAAAAUUUCAAAAUUUUAAUAUUUUAAAAUUUUAAAUUAUCGAAUACUUAGGUUUUUAGGGAAUAUUAAUUUUUUAAAUAAUUUUUUAAUAAUUAAGGGUCCCCGAUUAAUUUUCGUCUAGUCCGAUUAAUCGCUUAUCGUCAGUCGACCGCCGAGCUACCGCCAAACGAUUUUUACAACCUUGGUUUUAGGAUUUAUGUAAUGUUUGGUAAAAUUAUAACAUAUUUUGCACUUGAAUGUUCGGAUUAAUAUUUGGGGAUUGAAGUUGAUGAAAUGUUGGAUUGAAAUGACAGACUAAGGAAAAAUGAAAUACGUUCUUGGUGUAGAAAUGCAUCAAAAUGAAAUCACACUAUGUCAAGCACAAUUGCCCCUGGUACACACUUGGGGAGGAAGCAAAUAGUACAAAAUACAUGAGUCUUGUAGGAAGCCUCAUUUAUCUAACAAUCACGCGUCCUUAUUUGGUGUAUGUGGUUAGUCUUUCUAUCCCAAUUCAUGGUAAAUCACAAGGAGGAACACAUGGCUGCAGCAAAAUGUGUAUUAAGAUAUGUGAAAGUCAUCAGAAGAUUUGGGCUGCACUUUGGAAAGAAACUCAAUGAAAAGCUGCAAGUGUAUACAGAUAGUGACUGUAGUUGUGACAUGGAAGACCGAAAAUGCAAAUGGCCACAACAUGUGCAUGUAAUUUUGUUUGGUUAAAAGGUCUACUUGAGGAACUUUAAGAGAUACCAAAUGAAACUGUUGAAGUCUCUUAUGUGAUAAUAGCUUAACCAUAAAACUCUCAAAGAAUCUAGUGUUACAUUGGAAAAGAAAACACAUCCAUGUUGGAUUUCACUAUCACAGCGACUUGGUGAAUCAACAAGUUGUGAAGCUUGAAUUUUGCAGGUCUGAAAAAUAGUUGGAUUAUGUCAUUACUAAACCAUUGAAGUUGUUCUGUUCUUAGCUCCUGUUUUCCAGUUUUCCUUUCUAUAUUGUUUGAUGUAAUGUCUAUAAAUUAGCUGAUCCUUCUUGAAUAAGAGAUGAAUUUUAGUGCCACUUGUCUUCAAUAUCGCUUUGACAUUCUUCAAGUCUCAUGUAAGUCAAUUUUUAAAUACUUGGUACUCGUUCAAAAACUUUUAAAGACGGACUUAAUUUCACUAGAACAGAGAAAACGAGGCCUAAUUGAAGUGAAGGGGGCAGCUUACUGUGAUGAGAAACAGACUUCAGGACCUGAUCUGUGUGAGUGUGAUUGGCUGACCUCCUGCUACAAAGGGAAACAUUGGCGUCUUGCUUCUGGGAAGUUUGANGAAGUUUGAUGGGUAGGGCAUGUGAAUGUAUGUGUGUGUUGGAAAGGAGAGAGAGAGAGAAAGAGAGAGGAGAGAGAGUUCAGAGAAAAUCAAGGGAUUUUAAUUUAUCUCAGGCUCACGUUGAGUAAACCUUCCGUUUUCCUUUAAGCAUGCGUAAAAAAAUACUAAAUUUUUUAUUACUUCAAAUCUUGACCCUCCUUUAUUUUGAUAUAAUGGAAUUAAAAUUGAGUUCUCUUGUUAUUUUUACAAAUUUUUGAACUUUUGCCGCAAAUUAUUUCAUUACUUCCUAGCCCGCAAUGGACCACAGGACUAGAUUUGGAUGUUUGGACGAAUAUCGAAUCUUGCUAAAUUAAGACGUUAUAUGGCUUGUAGCCAGUAUAAGGGUAAGAAUUUGUAACUGUGGAGAUUCCACAAGAGAUUUCUGAAGGAGAAUUAAACCAUUAACAUAUAGACAACAAUUAAUGAUUAGAGGGUGAACAAAGUGGAGGUGCUCGUUAUAUAUCUUCACGCAAUGUUGAUUUCGUGAACUGGAAUCUGUAAGUAGGUGCCACAACUUAUAUACAUAUGUCGUAUAAUAAUAACAAUAAUAAUAAUAAUAAUAAUAAUAAUAAUAAUAAUAAUAAUAAUAAUAAAUCCUUUCGCAAGAUGAAUUUUAUAUUUCAUAGAUUUUUUUGGGAACAAACACAUUUGGACACCAUCCUUUUAUGUUUACGAUAUUAAAUAUAAUAUUAAAAUUAAUUGCAAGGAUAAAACUCGCAAACCUCAUUACAACAUCUAGGAAUGCCAACUCGACACAUUCUUUCACAUGGCGUUCCAUUGGGACCACACGAUUCGUUGGACAUUAACGAGCCUUACUCAGCCAAAACCGAUGAGAUAAACAAACCUGAAAAUUAAAGUAUAUUCCAUUAGAGAUAAACAGGGAAGAUGAUGGUAAUUAGAGUGCUAGCUAUUGAGACAAACAAAAGACUACGUACCAGACAUGGAAAGCAAUAACAUGACCAUGAACACCAUCUUCAAAUUUUGCUCCAUCUUUUAAGCGAUCGUUUUAAAAGCAAAAUCAAAGGAGUUAGUU
This 32330-nucleotide long non-coding RNA is filed under the name Lactuca sativa (garden lettuce). Its description in RNAcentral is "long non-coding RNA (LSAT_LNC008006)". Lineage: Eukaryota; Viridiplantae; Streptophyta; Magnoliopsida; Asterales; Asteraceae. The record is from RNAcentral.